Molecule: ribosomal RNA, 1542 nt
Filed under: Triticum aestivum (bread wheat)
Lineage: Eukaryota; Viridiplantae; Streptophyta; Magnoliopsida; Poales; Poaceae
Description: partial small subunit ribosomal RNA
Source: RNAcentral
AUGGCGGCUCCCGUUCUCCCCGUAGCGCCGCUGGCGCCCUCGCACCUGUCGCCCUUCAUCUCCGCCCGCCGGAGGUCCUCGUCGGCCUCCUCCGACCCGCCGCGUCGCCGCGGGACGGGCCCGUCGGUGCGCGCGUCGUCGUCGGCAGCGGCGGCGGUGACGAGCGGGUGGGCGCCGGACAGCUGGAGGGCGCGGCCGGCGCGGCAGAUCCCGAAGUACCCGGACGCAGCGGCGCUUGGGGAGGCUGAGCGCACGCUGGCGUCCUUCCCGCCGCUGGUGUUUGCGGGGGAGACGCGGACGCUGGAGGAGCGCCUCGGGGAGGCGGCCAUGGGCCGGGCGUUCCUCCUGCAGGGCGGCGACUGCGCCGAGAGCUUCAAGGAGUUCGGCGCCAACAACAUCCGCGAUACCUUCCGCCUCAUGCUCCAGAUGGCCGUCGUCCUCACCUUCGGGGGGCAGAUGCCCAUCGUCAAGGUUGGAAGGAUGGCAGGCCAAUUUGCAAAGCCAAGAUCGAACCCAAUCGAGACUAGAGAUGGAGUGACACUGCCGUCCUAUCAAGGGGACAUCAUCAACAACGACGAUUUCGAUGAGAAAUCGCGUGCACCAAACCCUCAAAGGUUGAUUAGAGCCUACAGUCAGUCUGCGAGCACCCUGAAUCUUUUGAGAGCAUUUGCCCAUGGAGGAUAUGCUGAUCUUCAGAGAGUCACCGAGUGGAACCUCGACUUUCUGAGGCACAGCACGCAGGGAGACAGGUAUGGGGAGCUUGCCCAGAGGGUUCAUGAUGCCAUCGGGUUCAUGCUUGCUGCUGGUCUGCCUCCUCAGCAUCCCAUGAUGACCACAGCUGAAUUCUGGACAUCCCAUGAGUGCCUUCACUUGCCAUAUGAGCAGGCACUGACCAGGGAGGACUCCACUUCUGGCCUCUAUUACGACUGCUCUGCACACAUGCUCUGGGUUGGGGAGAGAACUAGGCAGCUGGAUGGUGCUCAUGUUGAAUUCCUCCGCGGUAUUUCCAAUCCUGUCGGCAUAAAGGUGAGUGAUAAGCUUGAUUCAUCGGAGCUUGUGAAACUCUGUGAGAUUUUGAAUCCUCACAACAAGCCCGGGAGGCUGACACUUAUCACAAGGAUGGGGGCCGAGAACAUGCGUGCCAAGCUCCCCCAUAUGAUCAGAGCCGUGCGUCAAGCAGGGCUGAUUGUCACCUGGGUCAGCGAUCCCAUGCACGGGAACACCAUCAGCGCACCUUGCGGGCUCAAGACAAGAUCAUUCGAUGCAAUCCGGGCUGAGCUUCGGGCUUUCUUUGAUGUCCAUGAGCAAGAGGGGAGCUACCCCGGAGGGGUUCACCUAGAGAUGACAGGGCAGAACGUUACAGAGUGCAUUGGUGGAUCCAACACAGUGACCUUCGACGAUCUCAGUUCCCGCUACCGCACGCACUGCGACCCCAGGCUGAACGCAUCGCAGUCGCUUGAGCUGGCCUUUGCCAUUGCCGAGAGGCUAAGGAAGAAGAGAGACAGGACAUGGACUAGCCUGAUAUAUAAAGUAGAAGCUUAA